ACCAGACCUGCAAUUCGUUUCAAUCUCUAAGAACCCGGAGAACGUAGGUGAUUGUGCUAAUAACUCGUUCGACAAUUUCGCUCGAAUAAACAGUUUCUGCAAGAUAUAAAUAAAAAGCUGCCUAAUUACUUCCUCGGACACCGCACGAACUCGCGAUGCAACCGUUGAUAUUGCUACGUACUUUUUCCUUUUUCCUGAGCCCCGCGCUGGCUACCGGUUUUACAGCGACCGUUGAAUUUAACUGUCUAUUAAUUAAUGCGGGCCGAUUAAUUUCCGUCACGGCAUAAAAACGCAGUUCCAUGGAAAAUUAUGAUGGCGCAAGGUCUCGCCUCCGCGCCAUUUCCCUACGAUUCGUAUGUCAUCGAACCAUCGUUCUACAGAUCCAUGUGAAAAAUACCGACAUGUUGCGGGUAUUUCGUUUCGGGAAACUAGAAAAGAGGAGUAAAAUAAAAUUGUUUACAAGCUGAAAAAUAAACCUCCAAGGACGUGUUUGCUUGAUGUCUACAAUUCACCCUGUACGUAAAUAUCCAUCAAAUAUUUCACCACAUCCUGUACAAGUACAGAGCUAGAGGGAAUUAAGCUAAAGCACGUAACAACUGCGUUAAAUCAAAUUCAACGUUGGGAUUAAUACUGAAAUGAGGAUGAGUAUGAAAUAAAAACUUGGCAGAAACUUAAUAGAAAGGAAUAAUCAAAAUUUAGUAUGAAGUCCUGUAUUAUUUUUUGCUGUGUCUAUGAAAUAAG
RNAcentral lists this unclassified non-coding RNA (741 nucleotides) under Bombus terrestris (buff-tailed bumblebee). Its description in RNAcentral is "misc RNA ENSBTSG00005020121.1". Lineage: Eukaryota; Metazoa; Arthropoda; Insecta; Hymenoptera; Apidae. The record is from RNAcentral.